AACGAACGCUGGCGGCAUGCCUAACACAUGCAAGUCGAACGAGACCUUCGGGUCUAGUGGCGCACGGGUGCGUAACGCGUGGGAACCUGCCCUUAGGUUCGGAAUAACUCCCCGAAAGGGGUGCUAAUACCGGAUAAUGUCUUCGGACCAAAGAUUUAUCGCCUUUGGAUGGGCCCGCGUUGGAUUAGCUAGUUGUUAGGGUAAAAGCCUACCAAGGCGACGAUCCAUAGCUGGUCUGAGAGGAUGAUCAGCCACACUGGGACUGAGACACGGCCCAGACUCCUACGGGAGGCAGCAGUGGGGAAUAUUGGACAAUGGGCGAAAGCCUGAUCCAGCAAUGCCGCGUGAGUGAUGAAGGCCUUAGGGUUGUAAAGCUCUUUUACCCGGGAUGAUAAUGACGGUACCGGGAGAAUAAGCUCCGGCUAACUCCGUG
This 433-nucleotide ribosomal RNA is filed under the name uncultured bacterium. RNAcentral's name for it is "partial 16S ribosomal RNA". It matches the Rfam family "Bacterial small subunit ribosomal RNA", at positions 29 to 507 of the family's 1533-position model. The record is from RNAcentral.